RNAcentral lists this ribosomal RNA (253 nucleotides) under uncultured bacterium. RNAcentral's name for it is "partial 16S ribosomal RNA". It matches the Rfam family "Bacterial small subunit ribosomal RNA", at positions 524 to 776 of the family's 1533-position model. The record is from RNAcentral.
UACGAAGGGGGCUAGCGUUGCUCGGAAUCACUGGGCGUAAAGCGCACGUAGGCGGAUGUGUCAGUCAGGGGUGAAAUCCCGGAGCUCAACUUCGGAACUGCCUUUGAUACAGCACGUCUUGAGUCCGAUAGAGGUGGGUGGAAUUCCUAGUGUAGAGGUGAAAUUUGUAGAUAUUAGGAAGAACACCGGUGGCGAAGGCGGCCCACUGGAUCGGUACUGACGCUGAGGUGCGAAAGCGUGGGGAGCAAACAGG